Molecule: non-coding RNA, 23 nt
Filed under: Arabidopsis thaliana (thale cress)
Lineage: Eukaryota; Viridiplantae; Streptophyta; Magnoliopsida; Brassicales; Brassicaceae
Source: RNAcentral
AUGUAAACCUAGUUUGUAUCUUC